AUUGAACGCUGGCGGCAGGCCUAACACAUGCAAGUCGAACGGUAACAGGAAGCAGCUUGCUGCUUUGCUGACGAGUGGCGGACGGGUGAGUAAUGUCUGGGAAACUGCCCGAUGGAGGGGGAUAACUACUGGAAACGGUAGCUAAUACCGCAUAACGUCGCAAGACCAAAGAGGGGGACCUUAGGGCCUCUUGCCAUCGGAUGUGCCCAGAUGGGAUUAGCUAGUAGGUGGGGUAACGGCUCACCUAGGCGACGAUCCCUAGCUGGUCUGAGAGGAUGACCAGCCACACUGGAACUGAGACACGGUCCAGACUCCUACGGGAGGCAGCAGUGGGGAAUAUUGCACAAUGGGCGCAAGCCUGAUGCAGCCAUGCCGCGUGUAUGAAGAAGGCCUUCGGGUUGUAAAGUACUUUCAGCGGGGAGGAAGGGAGUAGAGUUAAUACCUUUGCUCAUUGACGUUACCCGCAGAAGAAGCACCGGCUAACUCCGUG
This 490-nucleotide ribosomal RNA is filed under the name uncultured bacterium. RNAcentral's name for it is "partial 16S ribosomal RNA". It matches the Rfam family "Bacterial small subunit ribosomal RNA", at positions 30 to 507 of the family's 1533-position model. The record is from RNAcentral.